This 542-nucleotide long non-coding RNA is filed under the name Helianthus annuus (common sunflower). RNAcentral describes it as "hypothetical non coding rna". The record is from RNAcentral. Lineage: Eukaryota; Viridiplantae; Streptophyta; Magnoliopsida; Asterales; Asteraceae.
AUGCCCGAUAAAGCCUUUUCAAAAAGUUUUAUGGUUAAGUGCUUGGAAGAACUUUGUCAUGCCAUCCGAGGUGUCGAUGUUGGAUACGUUGGCGGGCAGAGGGAGGAAGGUUAAAUCCGGAUGGUUAGAAGAAUCGGGCGGAUUGAAGUCGGAGUGAGCGAUGGUUAUUGAGAAGUUUUAGGAGUGAAGGUAAGUAGCAAGUUGAAGCAUUGGGGUCAUGUGACCUUGCAGUGGACUUGCUACCAUCACCAGCCGCGGUCGUCGUCCGCCGUGAUCCGCCAUCUUUGUCUGUGUAUCAGUAUCACUAGUUAGGUAUCUUUGUUAUUAAAUAAACCUCACUACUUGUAAUUUGACAAUGAUGGUUGGUUCCAAGAAACUACAUAUUUUUUUUAUAUAUUUGUUCAAAAGCUAAAUGGAAUUUGACAACGUUGGUUGGCUCCAAGAAGUUACCCCUUCAAAAGCUAAAUAUAAUAAAUUCAGUAUUUGUUAAGCGUUGUAAAUUAAACAAUUAUGAAUUUAUUUCAUAAUCAAAUAAUUUGGAU